UACGACGGGCUUCUUUCAGUUUCUGUCUACCAAAUCCCCUCACAAGGCUUUGGUCAGCCUGAGGCUAUAGUAGAAGACACUUGCCCAAGUUGCCACUCAAUGCGAUUGAACCUGGAACCACGUAGUUGAUAAGUAAGCUACUUGCCACAGAGACACUCCUGACUCCUUCAAAGCAAAGUCGACCUCGGCGGAAUUUGAACUCGGAACGU
Long non-coding RNA from Octopus sinensis (East Asian common octopus), 209 nucleotides. RefSeq lists it as uncharacterized. The transcript has 3 exons. Lineage: Eukaryota; Metazoa; Mollusca; Cephalopoda; Octopoda; Octopodidae. The record is from RefSeq and is a predicted model, not a curated record.